UUAAGUUAUUAAGGGCGCACGGUGGAUGCCUUGGCACUAGAAGCCGAUGAAGGACGUUACUAACGACGAUAUGCUUUGGGGAGCUGUAAGUAAGCUUUGAUCCAGAGAUUUCCGAAUGGGGAAACCCAGCAUGAGUUAUGUCAUGUUAUCGAUAUGUGAAUACAUAGCAUAUCAGAAGGCACACCCGGAGAACUGAAACAUCUUAGUACCCGGAGGAAGAGAAAGAAAAUUCGAUUCCCUUAGUAGCGGCGAGCGAAACGGGAAGAGCCCAAACCAACAAGCUUGCUUGUUGGGGUUGUAGGACACUCUAUACGGAGUUACAAAGGACGACAUUAGACGAAUCAUCUGGAAAGAUGAAUCAAAGAAGGUAAUAAUCCUGUAGUCGAAAAUGUUGUCUCUCUUGAGUGGAUCCUGAGUACGACGGAGCACGUGAAAUUCCGUCGGAAUCUGGGAGGACCAUCUCCUAAGGCUAAAUACUCUCUAGUGACCGAUAGUGAACCAGUACCGUGAGGGAAAGGUGAAAAGCACCCCGGAAGGGGAGUGAAAUAGAACCUGAAACCGUGUGCUUACAAGUAGUCAGAGCCCGUUAAUGGGUGAUGGCGUGCCUUUUGUAGAAUGAACCGGCGAGUUACGAUUUGAUGCAAGGUUAAGCAGUAAAUGUGGAGCCGUAGCGAAAGCGAGUCUGAAUAGGGCGUUUAGUAUUUGGUCGUAGACCCGAAACCAGGUGAUCUACCCUUGGUCAGGUUGAAGUUCAGGUAACACUGAAUGGAGGACCGAACCGACUUACGUUGAAAAGUGAGCGGAUGAACUGAGGGUAGCGGAGAAAUUCCAAUCGAACCUGGAGAUAGCUGGUUCUCUCCGAAAUAGCUUUAGGGCUAGCCUCAAGUGAUGAUUAUUGGAGGUAGAGCACUGUUUGGACGAGGGGCCCCUCUCGGGUUACCGAAUUCAGACAAACUCCGAAUGCCAAUUAAUUUAACUUGGGAGUCAGAACAUGGGUGAUAAGGUCCGUGUUCGAAAGGGAAACAGCCCAGACCACCAGCUAAGGUCCCAAAAUAUAUGUUAAGUGGAAAAGGAUGUGGCGUUGCCCAGACAACUAGGAUGUUGGCUUAGAAGCAGCCAUCAUUUAAAGAGUGCGUAAUAGCUCACUAGUCGAGUGACACUGCGCCGAAAAUGUACCGGGGCUAAACAUAUUACCGAAGCUGUGGAUUGUCCUUUGGACAAUGGUAGGAGAGCGUUCUAAGGGCGUUGAAGCAUGAUCGUAAGGACAUGUGGAGCGCUUAGAAGUGAGAAUGCCGGUGUGAGUAGCGAAAGACGGGUGAGAAUCCCGUCCACCGAUUGACUAAGGUUUCCAGAGGAAGGCUCGUCCGCUCUGGGUUAGUCGGGUCCUAAGCUGAGGCCGACAGGCGUAGGCGAUGGAUAACAGGUUGAUAUUCCUGUACCACCUAUAAUCGUUUUAAUCGAUGGGGGGACGCAGUAGGAUAGGCGAAGCGUGCGAUUGGAUUGCACGUCUACUCAUUAAGGCUGAGCUGUGAUGGGGAGAAGACAUUGUGUCUUCGAGUCGUUGAUUUCACACUGCCGAGAAAAGCCUCUAGAUAGAAAAUAGGUGCCCGUACCGCAAACCGACACAGGUAGUCAAGAUGAGAAUUCUAAGGUGAGCGAGCGAACUCUCGUUAAGGAACUCGGCAAAAUGACCCCGUAACUUCGGGAGAAGGGGUGCUCUUUAGGGUUAACGCCCAGAAGAGCCGCAGUGAAUAGGCCCAAGCGACUGUUUAUCAAAAACACAGGUCUCUGCUAAACCGUAAGGUGAUGUAUAGGGGCUGACGCCUGCCCGGUGCUGGAAGGUUAAGAGGAGUGGUUAGCUUCUGCGAAGCUACGAAUCGAAGCCCCAGUAAACGGCGGCCGUAACUAUAACGGUCCUAAGGUAGCGAAAUUCCUUGUCGGGUAAGUUCCGACCCGCACGAAAGGCGUAACGAUUUGGGCACUGUCUCAACGAGAGACUCGGUGAAAUCAUAGUACCUGUGAAGAUGCAGGUUACCCGCGACAGGACGGAAAGACCCCGUGGAGCUUUACUGUAGCCUGAUAUUGAAAUUCGGCACAGCUUGUACAGGAUAGGUAGGAGCCUUUGAAACGUGAGCGCUAGCUUACGUGGAGGCGCUGGUGGGAUACUACCCUAGCUGUGUUGGCUUUCUAACCCGCACCACUUAUCGUGGUGGGAGACAGUGUCAGGCGGGCAGUUUGACUGGGGCGGUCGCCUCCUAAAAGGUAACGGAGGCGCUCAAAGGUUCCCUCAGAAUGGUUGGAAAUCAUUCAUAGAGUGUAAAGGCAUAAGGGAGCUUGACUGCGAGACCUACAAGUCGAGCAGGGUCGAAAGACGGACUUAGUGAUCCGGUGGUUCCGCAUGGAAGGGCCAUCGCUCAACGGAUAAAAGCUACCCCGGGGAUAACAGGCUUAUCUCCCCCAAGAGUUCACAUCGACGGGGAGGUUUGGCACCUCGAUGUCGGCUCAUCGCAUCCUGGGGCUGUAGUCGGUCCCAAGGGUUGGGCUGUUCGCCCAUUAAAGCGGUACGCGAGCUGGGUUCAGAACGUCGUGAGACAGUUCGGUCCCUAUCCGUCGUGGGCGUAGGAAAUUUGAGAGGAGCUGUCCUUAGUACGAGAGGACCGGGAUGGA
This 2667-nucleotide ribosomal RNA is filed under the name Staphylococcus aureus. RNAcentral's name for it is "23S ribosomal RNA". It matches the Rfam family "Bacterial large subunit ribosomal RNA". Lineage: Bacteria; Bacillati; Bacillota; Bacilli; Caryophanales; Staphylococcaceae. The record is from RNAcentral.